GCUGUUCACGCUGUGUCCUGCGUCGUCACAGCAGCGUGCUGCUCCUGCGCCGCCGCCGCCGCCGCAGCCGUUAGCCCGUUAGCGCGAGGAGAGGAGACAUGUGGCCGUGAGCGCGGCGCGGCGACGCUCGUCUAGGCCACCCGACGCCCUCCUGCAGUCCCGGCCUCUUCUUCGCGUAGCCACGCCCACACGCGCUGCUCGGCCCCGACGCGAGCUCCUCCUCAGCCGGCCAGCCCUCGACAACAAGGUAUUACUGCCUACUUCUGCCAUCGACACUUCCUGCGGUAAUCUUGGCUGUCUAUCUGCAUUGGCUUAGCAUGAAGCAAGUAUGCAGCUCUGUUCUAAUUUCAGAGACUCAGAAUCACAGUGACAAUCAAGGCAGUUUAGCUGAAAGUAUAAGGCAAUGGUAGUCUUAUACGAUGCAUAAUUUGUUUUUGCCACCUCCUAGAUGUAUUUUGAUUAUGCUCCAAUCAGAAAAAUUCAUCAAUUAUUUUUCCA
Molecule: long non-coding RNA, 498 nt
Organism: Phragmites australis (common reed)
Lineage: Eukaryota; Viridiplantae; Streptophyta; Magnoliopsida; Poales; Poaceae
Exons: 2
Source: RefSeq, a predicted model, not a curated record